RNAcentral lists this transfer RNA (72 nucleotides) under Camelus bactrianus (Bactrian camel). It matches the Rfam family "tRNA". From Rfam's summary of the family: Transfer RNA (tRNA) molecules are approximately 80 nucleotides in length. The record is from Rfam by way of RNAcentral. Lineage: Eukaryota; Metazoa; Chordata; Mammalia; Artiodactyla; Camelidae. RNAcentral also lists the same sequence under 1 other name.
GAGGGUAUAGCACAGUGGUAGAGUGCAUGCUUAGCACACAUGAUAUCCUGGGUUUAAUUGCCAGUACCUCCA